GUCUACGGCCAUGCCACCCUGAACAAGCCCGAUCCCGUCUGAUCUCAGAAGCUAAGCAGGGUCAGGCCUGGUUAGUACUUGGAUGAGAGACCACCUAGGAAGACCAGGUGCUGUAGGCA
Molecule: ribosomal RNA, 119 nt
Filed under: Pteropus alecto (black flying fox)
Lineage: Eukaryota; Metazoa; Chordata; Mammalia; Chiroptera; Pteropodidae
Source: RNAcentral